RNAcentral lists this ribosomal RNA (101 nucleotides) under Long bean phyllody phytoplasma. RNAcentral's name for it is "partial 23S ribosomal RNA". The record is from RNAcentral. Lineage: Bacteria; Bacillati; Mycoplasmatota; Mollicutes; Acholeplasmatales; Acholeplasmataceae.
UAGGUAAAUAAUAGUUAUUUAUCCGGAACAUUAAAGGAAAUAAGAGCGCACAGUGGAUGCCUAGGCACCAAGAGCUGAUGAAGGACGCAAUUAACGGCGAA